RNAcentral lists this ribosomal RNA (253 nucleotides) under uncultured bacterium. RNAcentral describes it as "partial 16S ribosomal RNA". It matches the Rfam family "Bacterial small subunit ribosomal RNA", at positions 524 to 776 of the family's 1533-position model. The record is from RNAcentral.
UACGAAGGGGGCUAGCGUUGUUCGGAAUUACUGGGCGUAAAGCGCACGUAGGCGGACUAUUAAGUCAGGGGUGAAAUCCCGGGGCUCAACCCCGGAACUGCCUUUGAUACUGGUAGUCUCGUGUCCGGAAGAGGUGAGUGGAAUUCCGAGUGUAGAGGUGAAAUUCGUAGAUAUUCGCAAGAACACCAGUGGCGAAGGCGGCUCACUGGCCCGGUACUGACGCUGAGGUGCGAAAGCGUGGGGAGCAAACAGG